GGGGGCUAGCGUUGCUCGGAAUCACUGGGCGGAAAGCGCACGUAGGCGGAUUGUUAAGUCAGGGGUGAAAUCCUGGAGCUCAACUCCAGAACUGCCUUUGAUACUGGCGAUCUCGAGUCCGGGAGAGGUGAGUGGAACUGCGAGUGUAGAGGUGAAAUUCGUAGAUAUUCGCAAGAACACCAGUGGCGAAGGCGGCUCACUGGCCCGGUACUGACGCUGAGGUGCGAAAGCGUGGGGAGCAAACAGG
RNAcentral lists this ribosomal RNA (247 nucleotides) under uncultured bacterium. RNAcentral describes it as "partial 16S ribosomal RNA". It matches the Rfam family "Bacterial small subunit ribosomal RNA", at positions 530 to 776 of the family's 1533-position model. The record is from RNAcentral.